This 253-nucleotide ribosomal RNA is filed under the name uncultured bacterium. RNAcentral's name for it is "partial 16S ribosomal RNA". It matches the Rfam family "Bacterial small subunit ribosomal RNA", at positions 524 to 776 of the family's 1533-position model. The record is from RNAcentral.
UACGUAGGUGGCAAGCGUUGUCCGGAAUUAUUGGGCGUAAAGCGCGCGCAGGCGGUCCUUUAAGUCUGAUGUGAAAGCCCACGGCUCAACCGUGGAGGGUCAUUGGAAACUGGGGGACUUGAGUGCAGAAGAGGAGAGUGGAAUUCCACGUGUAGCGGUGAAAUGCGCAGAUAUCAGGAAGAACACCCGUGGCGAAGGCGGCUCUCUGGGACGGUACUGACGCUGAGACGCGAAAGCGUGGGGAGCGAACAGG